GUGAAGCAGUGGGAAUUCUGAGUUUAGUUCUGGACUCAGCAAUGCAUUUGGACACAACCCCCAUAAUCCCCCAAACAGCAUUGCUAUGGAUUCUGUGCAGGAAGCCUCUUAGUGGCAACCUGACUAGUAUAGAGGGAACCUCCAUGACUGAAUGCAGCCAACAUAUGGCCAACAUAUAGAGCCCGGCUGCCACCUCUGAAGACAACCAGGAUGGGAAGAAGCUUGAGGAGGGAACGCUGACUCUAUGGUUGCUGCUGAGAAAA
Sceloporus undulatus (fence lizard) is the source of this 263-nucleotide long non-coding RNA. RefSeq lists it as uncharacterized. Lineage: Eukaryota; Metazoa; Chordata; Lepidosauria; Squamata; Phrynosomatidae. The transcript has 3 exons. The record is from RefSeq and is a predicted model, not a curated record.